AUGACAGUUCACGAUUGAUUCCCCA
Molecule: non-coding RNA, 25 nt
Filed under: Drosophila melanogaster (fruit fly)
Lineage: Eukaryota; Metazoa; Arthropoda; Insecta; Diptera; Drosophilidae
Source: RNAcentral